RNAcentral lists this ribosomal RNA (497 nucleotides) under uncultured bacterium. RNAcentral describes it as "partial 16S ribosomal RNA". It matches the Rfam family "Bacterial small subunit ribosomal RNA", at positions 28 to 507 of the family's 1533-position model. The record is from RNAcentral.
GAUGAACGCUGGCGGCGUGCCUAAUACAUGCAAGUCGAGCGAACAGAUAAGGAGCUUGCUCCUUUGACGUUAGCGGCGGACGGGUGAGUAACACGUGGGUAACCUACCUAUAAGACUGGGAUAACUUCGGGAAACCGGAGCUAAUACCGGAUAAUAUUUCGAACCGCAUGGUUCGAUAGUGAAAGAUGGUUUUGCUAUCACUUAUAGAUGGACCCGCGCCGUAUUAGCUAGUUGGUAAGGUAACGGCUUACCAAGGCGACGAUACGUAGCCGACCUGAGAGGGUGAUCGGCCCCACUGGAACUGAGACACGGUCCAGACUCCUACGGGAGGCAGCAGUAGGGAAUCUUCCGCAAUGGGCGAAAGCCUGACGGAGCAACGCCGCGUGAGUGAUGAAGGCCUUCGGAUCGUAAAACUCUGUUAUUAGGGAAGAACAUACGUGUAAGUAACUGUGCACGUCUUGACGGUACCUAAUCAGAAAGCCACGGCUAACUACGUG